This 1019-nucleotide ribosomal RNA is filed under the name Samsoniella cristata. Its description in RNAcentral is "SSU rRNA". It matches the Rfam family "Eukaryotic small subunit ribosomal RNA", at positions 49 to 1080 of the family's 1831-position model. The record is from RNAcentral. Lineage: Eukaryota; Fungi; Ascomycota; Sordariomycetes; Hypocreales; Cordycipitaceae.
CCAUGCAUGUCUAAGUAUAAGCAAUUAUACAGCGAAACUGCGAAUGGCUCAUUAUAUAAGUUAUCGUUUAUUUGAUAGUACCUUACUACUUGGAUAACCGUGGUAAUUCUAGAGCUAAUACAUGCUAAAAAUCCCGACUUCGGAAGGGAUGUAUUUAUUAGAUUAAAAACCAAUGCCCUCUGGGCUCCUUGGUGAUUCAUAAUAACUUUUCGAAUCGCAUGGCCUUGCGCCGGCGAUGGUUCAUUCAAAUUUCUUCCCUAUCAACUUUCGAUGUUUGGGUAUUGGCCAAACAUGGUCGCAACGGGUAACGGAGGGUUAGGGCUCGACCCCGGAGAAGGAGCCUGAGAAACGGCUACUACAUCCAAGGAAGGCAGCAGGCGCGCAAAUUACCCAAUCCCGAUUCGGGGAGGUAGUGACAAUAAAUACUGAUACAGGGCUCUUUUGGGUCUUGUAAUUGGAAUGAGUACAAUUUAAAUCCCUUAACGAGGAACAAUUGGAGGGCAAGUCUGGUGCCAGCAGCCGCGGUAAUUCCAGCUCCAAUAGCGUAUAUUAAAGUUGUUGUGGUUAAAAAGCUCGUAGUUGAACCUUGGGCCUGGCUGGCCGGUCCGCCUCACCGCGUGUACUGGUCCGGCCGGGCCUUUCCCUCUGUGGAACCUCAUGCCCUUCACUGGGUGUGGCGGGGAAACAGGACUUUUACUUUGAAAAAAUUAGAGUGCUCCAGGCAGGCCUAUGCUCGAAUACAUUAGCAUGGAAUAAUGAAAUAGGACGUGUGGUUCUAUUUUGUUGGUUUCUAGGACCGCCGUAAUGAUUAAUAGGGACAGUCGGGGGCAUCAGUAUUCAAUUGUCAGAGGUGAAAUUCUUGGAUUUAUUGAAGACUAACUACUGCGAAAGCAUUUGCCAAGGAUGUUUUCAUUAAUCAGGAACGAAAGUUAGGGGAUCGAAGACGAUCAGAUACCGUCGUAGUCUUAACCAUAAACUAUGCCGACUAGGGAUCGGACGAUGUUAUUUUUUGACGCGUU